Molecule: ribosomal RNA, 253 nt
Filed under: uncultured bacterium
Lineage: Bacteria
Description: partial 16S ribosomal RNA
Rfam family: Bacterial small subunit ribosomal RNA
Source: RNAcentral
UACGAAGGGGGCUAGCGUUGUUCGGAAUUACUGGGCGUAAAGGGCGCGUAGGCGGACUGAUCAGUCUGGGGUGAAAUCUCCCGGCUCAACUGGGAGCGGUCCCUGGAUACUGUCAGUCUUGAGAGACCUAGAGGAGAGCGGAAUUCCCGGUGUAGUGGUGGAAUGCGUAGAUAUCGGGAAGAACACCAGUGGCGAAAGCGGUUCUCUGGGGGUUUUCUGACGCUGAGGCGCGAAAGCGUGGGGAGCGAACCGG